GACGAACGCUGGCGGCGCGCCUAACACAUGCAAGUCGAACGAGCGAGAGAGAGCUUGCUUUCUCGAGCGAGUGGCGAACGGGUGAGUAACGCGUGAGGAACCUGCCUCAAAGAGGGGGACAACAGUUGGAAACGACUGCUAAUACCGCAUAAGCCCACGGGUCGGCAUCGACCAGAGGGAAAAGGAGCAAUCCGCUUUGAGAUGGCCUCGCGUCCGAUUAGCUAGUUGGUGAGGUAAUGGCCCACCAAGGCAACGAUCGGUAGCCGGACUGAGAGGUUGAACGGCCACAUUGGGACUGAGACACGGCCCAGACUCCUACGGGAGGCAGCAGUGGGGAAUAUUGCACAAUGGGGGAAACCCUGAUGCAGCGACGCCGCGUGGAGGAAGAAGGUCUUCGGAUUGUAAACUCCUGUUGUUGGGGAAGAUAAUGACGGUACCCAACAAGGAAGUGACGGCUAACUACGUGCCAGCAGCCGCGGUAAAACGUAGGUCACAAGCGUUGUCCGGAAUUACUGGGUGUAAAGGGAGCGCAGGCGGGAAGACAAGUUGGAAGUGAAAUCUAUGGGCUCAACCCAUAAACUGCUUUCAAAACUGUUUUUCUUGAGUAGUGCAGAGGUAGGCGGAAUUCCCGGUGUAGCGGUGGAAUGCGUAGAUAUCGGGAGGAACACCAGUGGCGAAGGCGGCCUACUGGGCACCAACUGACGCUGAGGCUCGAAAGUGUGGGUAGCAAACAGGAUUAGAUACCCUGGUAGUCCACACCGUAAACGAUGAUUACUAGGUGUUGGAGGAUUGACCCCUUCAGUGCCGCAGUUAACACAAUAAGUAAUCCACCUGGGGAGUACGACCGCAAGGUUGAAACUCAAAGGAAUUGACGGGGGCCCGCACAAGCAGUGGAGUAUGUGGUUUAAUUCGACGCAACGCGAAGAACCUUACCAAGUCUUGACAUCCCUUGACAGACAUAGAAAUAUGUAAUCUCUUCGGAGCAAGGAGACAGGUGGUGCAUGGUUGUCGUCAGCUCGUGUCGUGAGAUGUUGGGUUAAGUCCCGCAACGAGCGCAACCCUUAUGGUCAGUUACUACGCAAGAGGACUCUGGCCAGACUGCCGUUGACAAAACGGAGGAAGGUGGGGAUGACGUCAAAUCAUCAUGCCCAUUAUGACUUGGGCUACACACGUACUACAAUGGCGUUAAACAAAGAGAAGCAAGACCGCGAGGUGGAGCAAAACUCAGAAACAACGUCCCAGUUCGGACUGCAGGCUGCAACUCGCCUGCACGAAGUCGGAAUUGCUAGUAAUCGUGGAUCAGCAUGCCACGGUGAAUACGUUCCCGGGCCUUGCACU
RNAcentral lists this ribosomal RNA (1338 nucleotides) under uncultured bacterium. RNAcentral's name for it is "bacterial SSU rRNA". It matches the Rfam family "Bacterial small subunit ribosomal RNA", at positions 28 to 1387 of the family's 1533-position model. The record is from RNAcentral.